CGAAAGCCUGACGGAGCAAGACCGCGUGAGGGAGGAAGGCUCUUGGGUUGUAAACCUCUUUUCUCAGGGAAGAAGCUCUGACGGUACCUGAGGAAUCAGCCUCGGCUAACUCCGUGCCAGCAGCCGCGGUAAUACGGAGGAGGCAAGCGUUAUCCGGAAUUAUUGGGCGUAAAGCGUCCGCAGGUGGCAAUUCAAGUCUGCUGUCAAAGACUGGGGCUUAACUCCGGGCAGGCAGUGGAAACUGACAGGCUAGAGUGCAGGAGGGGUAGAGGGAAUUCCCGGUGUAGCGGUGAAAUGCGUAGAUAUCGGGAAGAACAUCGGUGGCGAAGGCGCUCUACUGGACUGCAACUGACACUCAGGGACGAAAGCUAGGGGAGCG
This 379-nucleotide ribosomal RNA is filed under the name uncultured cyanobacterium. RNAcentral describes it as "bacterial SSU rRNA". It matches the Rfam family "Bacterial small subunit ribosomal RNA", at positions 376 to 770 of the family's 1533-position model. Lineage: Bacteria; Bacillati; Cyanobacteriota. The record is from RNAcentral.